This 199-nucleotide ribosomal RNA is filed under the name Escherichia coli. RNAcentral describes it as "partial 16S ribosomal RNA". It matches the Rfam family "Bacterial small subunit ribosomal RNA", at positions 1 to 176 of the family's 1533-position model. The record is from RNAcentral. Lineage: Bacteria; Pseudomonadati; Pseudomonadota; Gammaproteobacteria; Enterobacterales; Enterobacteriaceae.
UUGAGCAUCAAACUUUUAAAUUGAAGAGUUUGAUCAUGGCUCAGAUUGAACGCUGGCGGCAGGCCUAACACAUGCAAGUCGAACGGUAACAGGAAGCAGCUUGCUGCUUCGCUGACGAGUGGCGGACGGGUGAGUAAUGUCUGGGAAACUGCCUGAUGGAGGGGGAUAACUACUGGAAACGGUAGCUAAUACCGCAUAA